GAGCCCUCCCUGGCCCCUCUGCCGGGCUCAGGCUGGGCACCCCUCCGCACGGGCCCUGUACUGCUUCCUUCCGUCUGCCGGGGGUCUGCACACUCGGCCUAACACUGAGCCUUGUCGGGGAGUGGGUGUCGGGCCCCCGACGUCCCCGUGUCCCUGGUGGGGCCAGCGCGGCAAGGGGUCGGGUGAGGCCACCGCCACAGCUUCCUGUCCGUCCUUCCCAACGGGGACCUCGGACGCACGCAAGCCACGGGCACUGGCAGGGCGACGCGCUUUCCUUCGGAAGGCCCCUCCCGCAGCUGCUGCCUCUGUCCACCCCUGCCCCACGGGCCGCGCCCCACAGUCAGAAACCAGGGGUUUUCCCGCAGGUGCAGCGAACCCUGCACCCCCAUCCCCGUCCGGGGCCGGUUUCUACGAGAAGUGGCUCCACUCGGGGCCGGUGGCCUCGCGAGACCCGGGCUCCGUUGCCCAGCCAGGAAAAUGCCCGCUGCCAACUGCCCCCCCCAACGCCGUGGUCGACAGCGCACCCUCUGACGUGAGCCCCCUCAUCUCAGACCUCUUUUGCCUGCCCCUAAUGGGAUCGGCCCCCCAGAGAGGAGCGGGUGGAGGCUGAGGCGGCUCGCUGGGGAGGCCCAGUGUCCGGGCACCUGGUCUGAGGCCAGCGCGGCCCAGAGGAGCCCGGAGGAGCCGGCUGAGUAGGGGCCCCGGCUGCGCAAACCAGCAGACAGGCACCCGAAGAGCACAGCAGGCUGGGAAAGUAUUAGGGCUGCGGGUGCUUCCCCCUGAUGCUGAGAGCCCAGGCCUACGGCAGAGGAGAGGCAGAGGAGAGGCGGGCUGGCGGGCUGGGAAGAGCCUCGCGGCAGGGGGAGGGAGCUGCACACGGACCCGGAUUUGGGGGUGCCGUCCGACAUAACCAGCCUGCACCCCUCGAAAAGGCCAUGGUCAAGGAACACAGAGAAAGGCUGAGGACCUGUGGUCCCGGAUCGAAUCCUGGAGAAUGUGCGGCCAUGACGACCAUGACCGGCUCAAGACCGCAGAGGGCCCUGGUUUAGAGGGCGUGGCAUGCCCCUGCUGGCUCUGCUGAGGGCGACCCCUGGCCUGUCUCUAGGAGACACCCACCCACCUAUGGAGGGGCGGAGGCCAUGCUUCUCAAACCCAUGUGGCUUAGAAAACACACGUGGAUACAGACGGUGGGCAAGUGCACGCACACACGAGAGGAAACAGCAAAGCCGAGAGACUGAGGUGCAGACGUCCGUGAAUCCGGAUAAAGGCAGACAGGAGCUCUUUCUGCUCUCUGUACCCAUAAACUUGAAACCACAUCAAAAUAAAAUGUUCUCCAGAAAGCUC
Molecule: long non-coding RNA, 1344 nt
Organism: Herpailurus yagouaroundi (jaguarundi)
Lineage: Eukaryota; Metazoa; Chordata; Mammalia; Carnivora; Felidae
Exons: 3
Source: RefSeq, a predicted model, not a curated record